RNAcentral lists this ribosomal RNA (377 nucleotides) under Salmonella enterica. Its description in RNAcentral is "bacterial SSU rRNA". It matches the Rfam family "Bacterial small subunit ribosomal RNA", at positions 1153 to 1529 of the family's 1533-position model. RNAcentral also lists the same sequence under 4 other names. Lineage: Bacteria; Pseudomonadati; Pseudomonadota; Gammaproteobacteria; Enterobacterales; Enterobacteriaceae. The record is from RNAcentral.
CAGUGAUAAACUGGAGGAAGGUGGGGAUGACGUCAAGUCAUCAUGGCCCUUACGACCAGGGCUACACACGUGCUACAAUGGCGCAUACAAAGAGAAGCGACCUCGCGAGAGCAAGCGGACCUCAUAAAGUGCGUCGUAGUCCGGAUUGGAGUCUGCAACUCGACUCCAUGAAGUCGGAAUCGCUAGUAAUCGUGGAUCAGAAUGCCACGGUGAAUACGUUCCCGGGCCUUGUACACACCGCCCGUCACACCAUGGGAGUGGGUUGCAAAAGAAGUAGGUAGCUUAACCUUCGGGAGGGCGCUUACCACUUUGUGAUUCAUGACUGGGGUGAAGUCGUAACAAGGUAACCGUAGGGGAACCUGCGGUUGGAUCACCUC